UAGGGAAUCUUGCUCAAUGGGGGAAACCCUGAAGCAGCGACGCCGCGUGAGUGAUGAAGGACUUAGGUUCGUAAAGCUCUGUUCUGAGGGACAAAAAAAAUGAUGGUACCUCAGAAGCAAGGACCGGCUAACUUCGUGCCAGCAGCCGCGGUAAUACGAGGGGUCCAAGCGUUGCUCGGAAUCAUUGGGCGUAAAGCGGGUGUAGGUGGUUUUGUAAGUCAGAAGUGAAAGCCCUGGGCUUAACCCAGGAAGUGCUUUUGAUACUGCUUAACUUGAGUGUGGUAGAGGAUAGUGGAAUUCCUGGUGUAGUGGUGAAAUACGUAGAUAUCAGGAGGAACAUCGGCGGUGAAGACGGCUAUCUGGACCAACACUGACACUGAGAUCCGAAAGCGUGGGGAUCAAACAGG
This 407-nucleotide ribosomal RNA is filed under the name uncultured bacterium. RNAcentral describes it as "bacterial SSU rRNA". It matches the Rfam family "Bacterial small subunit ribosomal RNA", at positions 355 to 776 of the family's 1533-position model. The record is from RNAcentral.